UCAAUUCAGAACUGCAGAUAGUACAGCCUUCACAGCAGCCAGGGAUGCCUGGGCACAAGUGCCUGAGUUCCGAGGGACUUUGGGAAACACUUUGCUAACUCUCUCCUGCCUGGAAACCAGGAUUCUGCACCUGCCUGAUGGACAGUCUGGCCAGAGCCUCAGCCGUGCCCCCGGGGACAAGGAACUAGCACAAAUAACCGUUUGGAAAUUGGAUCGUGGCAAAAUUACCAAUAAGUCCAUAACGGAAACUGAAGGCAGUUUGAUCUACACCUUCAAUAACAGUCCCACAAAACUUGAAGAAAUAUGUUAUGUCUCCAAAGACAUAUACUCCAAAGAGCAUAGUUAUACCCUAAAAUUAGGACGUGAUUCAGGUCUCGCUGGGCUUCCAAAACAUGCGCAAAGUCAUGUGGCACUGCCAAGGAGUCAAUGGACUGUGAGUCACAGAGCACUGACUAACCAAUCAUUUAUUUCAUGUCUGACACUUGUGGACGUGCACCUUAUCUCUUCAGGCAGCGAAUACUCUACAUCAUGUCACAUCAGAGGCUCAGCACAACAGGGCUGGGAAAUAUCUAGCUAAUGUUUCAUCCAAAUACCUUCCAAGAUGGCAAUAACUAUCUAACAGAGAAGAACUACUGAAUAGCAGUUGGCAGCCUUGAAAAGCAUGUUUAGAAUAACCCAGUGCCACUAAUGUAGAGAAGGCAGUCUUGUCAUUUGAAGGGGAACCUAAGUCACACCAUGUUGCAAAAUAAGUGUCCCUUUUGGACCCAGUGUAACAAGAAAAUUUCUUAUGUUAUCCAUUUUGCAUACUUUACAGUGUUAGUAUGUGCAUGUGUGUGUGUGUAUUUAUGUUUUUAUGGUGGGGAUCAUUAAACAUUAUAUUUUGGUGUUGAGGCUCUUGCUGAAAUAAAAUCAUUAUAUAGAAGAGGGAACAUCAUAAGCUUUAUCUGUCACAAUCAUGCUGGUGAGGACGUUUGUUUUAAUGGGACUUAGAGAUGUUCCAUUGUUUACAGACUGUGUGAUAGACAGAAAUAUUUGGGAGCAAUACUGAAACUUUAAGCAACCUCCUUGGUACAUCCUCAGGUUCAAGAGCAUCUUAUACUCAACACACCCCGACCAAAUCUGAUUGCCUUACUUAGACCCUGCUGGCUGAACCCCACCACCAGGAACCUAGGACAGAAACCUCUCAGUGCUAUCUGACUCCCCCUCUAUCAUUUCGCUCCUCAUGGGCAUUUGAUCACUCGUUCUGACAUCCCACCCCUCCUUUCCCAGCCCCUCUCUGACCAUACGCCUUGGUUUGGGACUAAUCAUUGCUCAUGUAUAAAUGCAUUAAUCUACUCAUGGAGUUACUUGCGUCCAGAUUAAUUAAUUUGUUUAUCUGCCAUCUCCUCUAUUAGUUGUGAAUUGGUUCAGCGGUAGAAACCAUGUUUUAGUCAUGGCUCUGCAAUUUCUGAUGAAACCCACUGCCCAGCAUCUGUAUGUAAGAAAUGAAGCAGGACCCUCUGGGGCCUUCCCAGGAUAGCCCCCCCGCCCAUGUCCUCAGCCUGCCUUUUGUCUGUAGAAAAACUUUAGUAAAAGAAUAAAUUUCAUCAGAGAAGUGAGAAAAUGCAGAAGCAAAGGAAAACAGUCAAAUAAGACCAAGUAAUAAUAGUUUAGUCAUUAAACAAAGGCCUUUAGCUCCUCCUCAAGGGCUAUAGAUAAUAUUCAUAGUCAUGUCCUGUGAACUGUUUUAUAGAUACUGAAACCCCCGCCAGAUGGAAGACAUUAACUACAUGUCGACCAGACCGUAGCCAUGACAUAAGCUGCCACAGUUCCAAGGAACUGGCCUCAAAGAAAUGGGAACAAACAGACCCUAGAACUGAAGAUUAACUGUUCUUAAAAAACAAUCAAGAUGAUGCUGGUCGGACCACUGCAUGACCAAUUUCAAGAUGAGUGUCAGAGCUGACUGUGCUGUUUCUGCAUAUAGCCCCCUCCCUCCGCCUAUAAAAGCUCUUGCCCACUGGUUGUCAUGGGGGUGGGAGGGAGAGAGUCGGCCUUUUGACAGGAGUCCGCCCUCCCCACAGUUGCUGGCAUCCAAAACAAAGCAAACUUUCCUUUCCACCAACCUUACCUCCCAAGUAUUGGCUUUCAAGUGGCAAGAAGGCAGACCCCACUUUCAGUAACAUAUAUGUUUGUGUUUCUGUGUAUUUCUGUGGAUAUGCGUGUAUGUGCAUGUGCAUGUGUAUCAUUCAAUAAAAUCCAGCAUCAUGAGAAUAGGACCAAGUUGUAAGUCCCUGCAAGCCAGGUGACAGCAUGAAUGAUAAUAAGUACUAUUCUUUGAAUGCCUGCAUUGAGCCAGGUAAUUGAGACACAUUUUGUUAGAUCAGUCUCACAACAUUUAGAGGCAGCUGCUACUAGUCAUAACUUCCAGGUUACUGAAUAAAGACUCAAAGAGAUUAUGUAAGUGCUUAGAUCCAUCUGACUCCAGAACCUUUAUAUACCUAGAGACAAGUGCUAUAAAGUGAAGAAGGGCUGCAAACAAAAAUUAGAGAAGGUUUUUUUUUUUAAAUUUAUUUAUUUUUAUUUUUGGUUGUGUUGGGUCUUCAUUGCUGCACGCAGGCUUUCUCUAGUUGUGGCGAGCAGGGGCUACUCUUCGUUGCAGUGCACAGGCUUCUGAUGGCGGUGGCUUCUCUUGUUGCGGAACAUGGGCUCUAGGCAUGAAGGCUUCAGUAGUUGUGGCACGCGGGCUCAGUAGUUGUGGCUCGUGGGCUCAGUAGUUGUGGCUCGUGGGCUCUAGAGCACAGGCUCAGUAGCUGUGGCGCAUGGGGCUUAGUUGAUCUGCAGCAUGUGAGAUCUUCCCAGACCAGGGCUCAAACCCGUGUCCCCUGAACUGGCAGGCAGAUUCUUAACCACUGCACCACCAGGGAAGCCCCAAAUUAGGGACGUUUUGAUGAGAAGCUUUGCCUGCCUUAACCUCUUGCCCAGUUCCCCAGUCUGUCCACUAGAUUCAUUCAGGUUCAGAGCUCAU
Long non-coding RNA from Globicephala melas (long-finned pilot whale), 3004 nucleotides. RefSeq lists it as uncharacterized. Lineage: Eukaryota; Metazoa; Chordata; Mammalia; Artiodactyla; Delphinidae. The record is from RefSeq and is a predicted model, not a curated record.